This is a non-coding RNA of Aplosporella prunicola CBS 121167, 109 nucleotides long. The record is from the annotation of a RefSeq genome assembly. Lineage: Eukaryota; Fungi; Ascomycota; Dothideomycetes; Botryosphaeriales; Aplosporellaceae.
GGUCGCUUAGCUCAGUUGGUUAGAGCGUGGUGCUAAUAACUUGGGAUCUUCAAAAGAGCUUCCAAACUGUUAAACGCCAAGGUCGCGAGUUCGACCCUCGUAGUGACCA